CCUUACCAGGUCUCGACAUCCUCUGAUACUCCUAGAGAUAGGACUUUCUCCCUUCGGGGGACAGAGUGACAGGUGGUGCAUGGUUGUCGUCAGCUCGUGUNGUGAGAUGUUGGGUUAAGUCCCGCAACGAGCGCAACCCUUGAUCUUAGUUGCCAGCAUUCAGUUGGGCACUCUAAGGUGACUGCCGGUGACAAACCGGAGGAAGGUGGGGAUGACGUCAAAUCAUCAUGCCCCUUAUGACCUGGGCUACACACGUGCUACAAUGGAUGGUACAAAGGGCAGCGAAGCCGCGAGGUGGAGCCAAUCCCAUAAAACCAUUCUCAGUUCGGAUUGCAGGCUGCAACUCGCCUGCAUGAAGCCGGAAUCGCUAGUAAUCGCGGAUCAGCAUGCCGCGGUGAAUACGUUCCCGGGCCUUGUACACACCGCCCGUCACACCACGAGAGUUUGUAACACCCGAAGUNCGGUGGGGUAACCGUAAGGAGCCAGCCGCCUAAGGUGGGACAGAGGAUUGGGGUGAAGUCGUAACAAGGUAUCCGUAUC
RNAcentral lists this ribosomal RNA (540 nucleotides) under uncultured bacterium. Its description in RNAcentral is "bacterial SSU rRNA". It matches the Rfam family "Bacterial small subunit ribosomal RNA", at positions 969 to 1506 of the family's 1533-position model. The record is from RNAcentral.